Molecule: transfer RNA, 32 nt
Filed under: Exhalimolobos berlandieri
Lineage: Eukaryota; Viridiplantae; Streptophyta; Magnoliopsida; Brassicales; Brassicaceae
Description: partial tRNA-Phe
Source: RNAcentral
GGUAAUGGCCGGGAUAGCUCAGGUGGUAGAGC